AUUGAACGCUUGCGGCAUGCUUUACACAUGCAAGUCGAACGGCAGCGCGGGCUUCGGCCUGGCGGCGAGUGGCGAACGGGUGAGUAAUGCAUCGGAACGUGCCCAGUAGUGGGGGAUAGCCCGGCGAAAGCCGGAUUAAUACCGCAUACGACCUGAGGGUGAAAGCGGGGGACCGAAAGGCCUCGCGCUAUUGGAGCGGCCGAUGUCGGAUUAGCUAGUUGGUGGGGUAAAGGCUUACCAAGGCGACGAUCCGUAGCUGGUCUGAGAGGACGACCAGCCACACUGGGACUGAGACACGGCCCAGACUCCUACGGGAGGCAGCAGUGGGGAAUUUUGGACAAUGGGGGCAACCCUGAUCCAGCCAUGCCGCGUGCGGGAAGAAGGCCUUCGGGUUGUAAACCGCUUUUGUUCGGGAAGAAAUCCUCUGGGCUAAUACCCCGGGGGGAUGACGGUACCGGAAGAAUAAGCACCGGCUAACUACGUG
RNAcentral lists this ribosomal RNA (484 nucleotides) under uncultured bacterium. Its description in RNAcentral is "partial 16S ribosomal RNA". It matches the Rfam family "Bacterial small subunit ribosomal RNA", at positions 28 to 507 of the family's 1533-position model. The record is from RNAcentral.